AUACGGAGGGUGCAAGCGUUAUCCGGAAUCAUUGGGUUUAUAGGGUCCGUAGGCGGACUAAUAAGUCAGGGGUGAAAUCCCACAGCUUAACUGUGGAACUGCCUUUGAUACUGUUAGUCUUGAGUUAUAUGGAAGUAGAUAGAAUGUGUAGUGUAGCGGUGAAAUGCUUAGAGAUUACACAGAAUACCGAUUGCGAAGGCAGUCUACUACAUAUAUACUGACGCUAAUGGACGAAAGCGUGGGGAGCGAACAGGAUUAGAUACCCUAGUAGUCC
This 274-nucleotide ribosomal RNA is filed under the name uncultured bacterium. RNAcentral describes it as "partial 16S ribosomal RNA". It matches the Rfam family "Bacterial small subunit ribosomal RNA", at positions 523 to 796 of the family's 1533-position model. The record is from RNAcentral.